Molecule: microRNA precursor, 116 nt
Filed under: Trypanosoma vivax Y486
Lineage: Eukaryota; Euglenozoa; Kinetoplastea; Trypanosomatida; Trypanosomatidae
Source: RNAcentral
GGGAGAGCGAACAAGAAAGAAAGAAAGAUAGAAAAGAAAAAAAUACACCACACACUUGUAUGUACUAAGGGGGUAAAACACCCAAUCUCUCUCUCUCUCUCUCUUUUUCUUAUUCC